RNAcentral lists this ribosomal RNA (826 nucleotides) under Planctomycetes bacterium SCGC AAA206-C13. RNAcentral describes it as "bacterial SSU rRNA". It matches the Rfam family "Bacterial small subunit ribosomal RNA", at positions 41 to 878 of the family's 1533-position model. The record is from RNAcentral. Lineage: Bacteria; Pseudomonadati; Planctomycetota.
GGCGUGGAUUAGGCAUGCAAGUCGAACGAGUCUCUGGGGGGUAACUCCUAGAGGAAAGUGGCGAAAGGGGCAGUAAUGUAUGGGUAACCUACCUUGAGGUCUGGGAUAGCUAUUCUAACGGAUAGGUAAUACUGGACGGCCUAAGUUGUCGGCAUCGACGAUUUAGUAAAGGUUACGCCUCGAGAGGGGCCCAUAUGAUAUUAGCUAGUUGGUGGGGUAAUGGCCCACCAAGGCAAAGAUGUCUAGCGGGUGUGAGAGCACGACCCGCGUCAUUGGCACUGAGACACUGGCCAAACUCCUACGGGAGGCUGCAGUCGAGGAUCUUCGGCAAUGGACGAAAGUCUGACCGAGCAACGCCGCGUGUGCGAUGAAGGCCUUCGGGUUGUAAAGCACUGUCGAGGGGAAACAAGCCGUAAGGUUGAGUGACCCCUGGAGGAAGCACGGGCUAAGUUCGUGCCAGCAGCCGCGGUAAGACGAACCGUGCAAACGUUAUUCGGAAUCACUGGGCUUAAAGGGCGCGUAGGCGGGUGAUCAAGUCAAUGGUGAAAUCCUCCAGCUUAACUGGAGAAGUGCCUUUGAUACUGAUUGUCUAGAGGGAGGUAGGGGCAUGUGGAACUUCAGGUGGAGCGGUGAAAUGCGUAGAUAUCUGAAGGAACGCCAGUGGCGAAAGCGAUGUGCUGGACCUCUUCUGACGCUGAGGCGCGAAAGCUAGGGGAUCAAACGGGAUUAGAUACCCCGGUAGUCCUAGCCCUAAACUAUGGGUACUAGAUUGUGGACUUUCAUGGGUUCACAGUCGAAGCAAAAGUGUUAAGUACCCCGCCUGGGG